This 253-nucleotide unclassified non-coding RNA is filed under the name uncultured Acidobacteriota bacterium. RNAcentral's name for it is "uncultured Acidobacteria bacterium contains 16S-23S intergenic spacer region". It matches the Rfam family "Bacterial small subunit ribosomal RNA", at positions 524 to 776 of the family's 1533-position model. Lineage: Bacteria; Pseudomonadati; Acidobacteriota. The record is from RNAcentral.
UACGGAGGGGGCAAGCGUUAUUCGGAAUUAUUGGGCGUAAAGGGCGCGCAGGCGGCCUGGAAAGUCUCGGGUGAAAUCCCUCGGCUCAACCGAGGAAUUGCCUUGGAUACUGUCAGGCUCGAGGCCGGGAGGGGGUGGCGGAAUUCCCAGUGUAGCGGUGAAAUGCGUAGAUAUUGGGAGGAACACCAGUGGCGAAGGCGGCCACCUGGACCGGUUCUGACGCUGAGGCGCGAAAGCGUGGGGAGCAAACAGG